AUCGUUUUAAUUUUUAACUCUAAUUAUUGUGGCAUUUUUUUAUCUUUUUUAUCUUUUAUUUUAAUUUUUUUUGUAAAAUAUUUUAAUUUUUAUUUUUCUUUGGAAAAAUGUUUAAAAUUUGUUUUAUUGAACUGGAUUAGUACCCAGGUAAUCAAAGUUUAUUAAUUCGGGAGUAAAGUUUUAUUUAAACCGAAAAAAUAUUGACUGACUUUGGAUUUUUUUUUGGAACAUGUGUAUGGAGAGCCCUCUUUAGUAGUAAAUUUUUUUUUGCACAUGUAUGAUUGUUUAGUUUUUAUGUUUUUUUGUAAUGCUUUUUUGGGAUUUAGAACAGAUAUAUAUUUGGCUUAUGGGUUUAUUAAUCAUGUGUUACUAUUAGAAAUAUUUUUUGGAUGAUUUUUUUAGUUUGUAUCUGAAAUUGGACAAAAAAGUAAUUAUUUUUUUAUGUGUUGAUGAAUUUAAUAAACAAA
RNAcentral lists this ribosomal RNA (467 nucleotides) under Mansonella atelensis amazonae. Its description in RNAcentral is "partial 12S ribosomal RNA". The record is from RNAcentral. Lineage: Eukaryota; Metazoa; Nematoda; Chromadorea; Rhabditida; Onchocercidae.